GAAAAGAAAGCAACAGCGAUAGCCUCAGUAACGGCGAGUGAAGCGGCUACAGCUCAAAUUUGAAAUCUGGCCUCCUUUGGUGGUCCGAGUUGUAAUUUGCAGAGGAUGCUUUGGCAUUGGCGGCGGUCUAAGUUCCUUGGAACAGGACAUCGCAGAGGGUGAGAAUCCCGUACGUGGGCGCCUGCCUUUGCCGUGUAAAGCUCCUUCGACGAGUCGAGUUGUUUGGGAAUGCAGCUCUAAAUGGGAGGUAAAUUUCUCCUAAAGCUAAAUACCGGCCAGAGACCGAUAGCGCACAAGUAGAGUGAUCGAAAGAUGAAAAGUACUUUGGAAAGAGAGUCAAAUAGCACGUGAAAUUGUUGAAAGGGAAGCGCUUGCAGCCAGACUUGCCCGCAGUUGCUCACCCAGGCUCUCGCCUGGGGCACUCUUCUGCGGGCAGGCCAGCAUCAGUUUGGGCGGUCGGAUAAAGGCUCCUGUCAUGUACCACCCCUCGGGGUGGCCUUAUAGGGGGGGCGUAAUGCGACCAGCCCGGACUGAGGUCCGCGCAUCUGCUAGGAUGCUGGCGUAAUGGCUGUAAGCGGCCCGUCUUGAAACACGGACCAAGGAGUCUAACAUCUAUGCGAGUGUUUGGGUGUCAAGCCCGGGCGCGCAAUGAAAGUGAACGGAGGUGGGAACCCUUCGGGGUGCACCAUCGACCGAUCCUGAUGUCUUCGGAUGGAUUUGAGUAAGAGCAUAGCUGUUGGGACCCGAAAGAUGGUGAACUAUGCUUGAAUAGGGUGAAGCCAGAGGAAACUCUGGUGGAGGCUCGCAGCGGUUCUGACGUGCAAAUCGAUCGUCAAAUUU
RNAcentral lists this ribosomal RNA (840 nucleotides) under Pseudopithomyces maydicus. Its description in RNAcentral is "LSU rRNA". It matches the Rfam family "Eukaryotic large subunit ribosomal RNA", at positions 56 to 912 of the family's 3401-position model. The record is from RNAcentral. Lineage: Eukaryota; Fungi; Ascomycota; Dothideomycetes; Pleosporales; Didymosphaeriaceae.